GCUGAUAUAGCUCAAUUGGUAGAGCAGCUGACUUGUAAUCAGCAGGUUAAGAGUUCAAUUCUCUUUAUCAGCU
RNAcentral lists this transfer RNA (73 nucleotides) under Mallomonas splendens. RNAcentral describes it as "tRNA-Thr". It matches the Rfam family "tRNA". Rfam says of the family: Transfer RNA (tRNA) molecules are approximately 80 nucleotides in length. Their secondary structure includes four short double-helical elements and three loops (D, anti-codon, and T loops). Lineage: Eukaryota; Synurophyceae; Synurales; Mallomonadaceae. The record is from RNAcentral.